Neofelis nebulosa (Clouded leopard) is the source of this 6516-nucleotide long non-coding RNA. RefSeq lists it as uncharacterized. The transcript has 2 exons. The record is from RefSeq and is a predicted model, not a curated record. NCBI's taxonomy places the organism in Eukaryota, Metazoa, Chordata, Mammalia, Carnivora, Felidae.
CUGUGAUCCAGCAACUCCACUGCUGGGUAUUUACCCAAAGGAAACGAAAACAGGACAUCACAACGAUAACUGAACCCCAUGUUUACUGCGGCAUUAUUUACGAUAGCUAAGAUAUGGGAACAACCGAAGCGUCCACGGAUGGAUCCACGGAUAAAGAAGAUGUAUAUAAUAGAAUCUUUUUUGGCGACGAGAAAGAGGGAAACCUUGCCGUUGUGUGACAUCGUGGAUGGACAUUGACGACAUUGUUCUCAGGGAGGUAACCUCCUGGAAGGACUCAUCUGAUUGGGUCAAGCCCAGUUGUUGAAAAAACAUAAAAUAAUAGCGAGCAAAUGAAAUGACAAAUAGGACAAAAGACUGAAUUUUGGAAUGAUAUUUGCACCGUAUUUUUUGGCAGAAGAUAACUGCUAGACCGACCUGCCUAGAGGUGAGACGAAGAUAGCCUGGUCAAACUCUGGUCCUAAACACAAAACCAAGAUGGCACAGAAGAAUCGUUCGUAACGUGCGGAACGGUGGUUGCUUCUCUAUCCCUCGGCCUGUCUCUUGAAAGUUAAUCCCAUUUGUGUCUGUCAGUUUGUCCCCGCACGCAAACACACACACGUGCACGCACACGCACGCCUUUGCCCAGACAGACCAACAAGGACCAGCAACUUGGCUGGCCGGCAGCAUCUGGAAGGUUUCCAGCCCCUUCUGUCAAUCCCCAAAGCGCUGUGCAACCUCACCAGAGGCGCGGUGUAUUUCUAGCCACAGAGGUUCAAGUUUUCGAUCACAAAGACGCAAGGGCUGUGGAGAAAGGGGAAGUCUGAAGCCGAUGCCUUACGUGGGGGACCCAGCUGGGAGGAUGUUUAGCAACCGUAGAUUGGAGCUAAAGAACCACAUCUCCUUCUCGCUUCCUCAGAUGGGAAGGAACUGAGCUGACCGUGUGACGAUGGUGUCAGUGCCGUCCGCGCGGGAGCCCCAGCAAGAAAACCAAGGAAUUUUUUUCUCUGGAUUUGGCGUCCUUCUCCCGAGGGCGCACUGCUCUGAUUUCCAGCUCUGACUUCAGCCCUUUGCUCAAUGAUUCUACUUACGGUUCUCUUCCUGCUUGCGGCCCCCACCCUGCACAUCCAUACACCCACCCACGGGGGGGGCCGGUACGUGCACACACACCCGCAUGCACCCAUUACGUAGACUUACCCCAGUUGUAUGCAUAUGCGUACAUGCAAGACCAGACAGACGCACAGCUGCACAGACACUCAGAUAAACACACUUACCCACACACGGGCACACACGUGCUGUCACACUCAGACACAGACUGACCCAUCUAUCCACAUCUGCAUAUACACGUUCUUACAACGGUAAGUGCACACACUCUGGAACGCAGACAUGCGUGCACAAAUACACGCAACGUUCAGAGGCACACGUGUGCACGUGACUUCUUGGCAGAAAUUCCAACCUACAUGUCCCGUCGGCGGUGCAUGUGGACUUUAUUUCUCGAUUGUUGUGGACCCUUUCCUUAUUUUCCUGCAUACUUAGGUAAUCGUAGUUCUGAAGAAGUGAAAAAUGCCAAACAGGCAGAGCACCUGAGCGGGGGACAGGGGAGCCCAACGCCAGCCCUCAUGAAGGAUGGGGGACGGGGAGGGGCAGGGAGCUGUGCUGACACAGACUUUGGGUUUGGGUCAUGAAGCCCUUGGGUGGUCCUCGGUGGUCCUCCCGGUGCCAGAAGCAGGAGCAGACCCCACACCCCGGUUGCCCCGGUCUCUGCAGUGUUGAAUGCCUUGCGGUCAUGGGAGCCACAUCCCCCAUCACUACGUGUCCUCGGACCCAGCUACCUCUCUGGGGAGGGCCGCUUUUCCUGCAUCUAGAUCGCCCUGUGGUGCGUGGAUGUGGUCCACGCUCCCCUACCGUGGAGAUCCGUAGCGGCAGUUUAGGUAGCGACAUCGAACUUCCCAACCUCAGGGAGGACAGAAGUCUUCCUCUCUACUUCGGCUGGACGCAGCUACACUUGGACCGGGGAAUGCGAACAAUCACAGUGGCUCCUGCACGAAAUUCCCCUGUGUACAUCAAGAGCGGGGUGGGUGGAGCGCCCGGGUCCCGGGGCGGGUGCCAGCGCAGGCUGGCGUCAGGAUCGCUGAUGGGUAUGUUGCUCUGCAGUCCGUCUCGGCCUGGGCAGAGCCCCUGGAGGAUAGGUAGGUUCUGUAAUGGCCGUGCUUUUGUGGGACCUGUGCACUCAUACUUCAUUUUGCAGAGGCAGUUCCGGGGGCUCUACCUGAGAAGAUAAGGCUGCUCUCGGGAGAGGUGCAGGCACCAGGGGCCCUGGCUCUCCUUCCGGGGGCUCACACAGCUUGUGUGUGGCCUGCCUUCCUCCCGCGACCUUCCCUUCGUGGCCCCUAAUUCCCAGCUCAGGAGGACAGCUGGGCUAGUGUCACCCUCACUAUUUCCCCUCCUCUGUCUGAGCCCCCAGGAUGAGCAGGGGCCGACGGCAUGUGCCAGGACCUGGCUGUCCUCCCCGCUCCACGUGGAUGCUCGGGGUUGGCAGAGGUGAGCGGCAGACAGAUCUCUCCGUCCCACAGGACCGUCUACUCCAUCCUCCCUGCCUCAUCGAGGGCAGGGCUGCUUGGAGCCAGGGAAGAAACCACCUAAAAAUCUCCUUAAGAAGAAUCGUAAAACUCCCUUCCUUAAGACGUGGGGGCUCCUGUUUCUACAAUUUUUAACCUGCUUGACGAGCCAAUGCCUCCGAUGUCUAUCUGAAAGUGUCCUCUAGGGUGGGGACCAGGUGAGGCCGGUGAGGCACCCCAGAAGUGGAAUCGGAGGAGGCACUCACUCCCAGGUCGGGGAAGAGCAGGGUCACGACCUUGAGACAGAGGCCCCUCAAGUCUCUCACCCUGGGCAUCUCACCUAGUUUCUUCUCUGGUGCUGUCUACUCCCCAUCCCCGAUCCAUUAGGGGGCAUCUGAGGGUGAACAGUUUGAUGUCGAAGCUAGACUUUUAUCUUCUCCUCCUCAAGGGGACAGAAGAACCACCCAAAACAGAAGGUACUCAGGUUCUGAUAAACUGAAUGCAGUUACCAGAUAGCCCAGCAAUUGCACUCUUGGGCAUUUGUCCCAGGGACACAAAGUCCCAGGUGCCCUCCAGGGGGUGAGUGGUUAAGGAAAGGGAGACAUGUCCGCCCCAUGGGCCACCACUCGGUGAUAAAACGAACGAACCACGGAUGCGUUCCACACCUACAGCACAUCCACUCCCGUUUGUGGGUCUUGCAGAUGUCUAGAAGCCAAACUUUGUCAAUGAGCAAGUAACGCCUCGUCCAAACACCAGGGACCAGCACCACUAGACCCGUGGGACACUGGAACAGCAAAACACAUUUUCUCUGGAGGACAUGCUUAACAUUUGAUCAAUGUCUCCAGCAGUCCUUUGUAAAAAAAAGUCCUCUAUAGGUCUUGACUUGUACAUCACUUGUAAGGUGCUUUGUUUGCCUGAUGAUAUCUGGCACAGGACUAGGAACGGGGGGCAAAGCAGACAGCAGGGAAAAGCAGAAGAGCAUGGGACUUCUGAGUAAUUGACAUCUUCGCACAAUUUUAUUUGAGUCCGCAAAACAGAGAAUUACCAGAAGCCCCAAGCAGCUGAGGGUAGGGAACAGAGCAUCAAGCCAGUGCUGGGCUGAGCCUGACAUCUUGGGGAUCAGCCAGCGUGCUCUGUGCGAGCUUAUUGGCCCAGCGCUUCCUGGUGGCUAGACCUUCUCAACCAGGGGUCCCGCAGAGAAAGCAGGACUGUGGAUGCAGUCACGUGGCCAGCAGCCCCACUGGCCUGUCCUCACCCACUGGCCACAUACACAAGUUGGGCUUCCCCAUCAGGAGACCCUUUGGACAGGUACCGGCCCCCCAAAGCUGGUGCUACCUCUCUAGACUUUACAGCAGGAGUCAUGGCAUACCGCUGAAUUUUAUAAGCCAUCAGUUUGAACAACAUAACUUUUAGACAUGUUUCUCAGGGUGUUACUCUGGGUCACAAAAAUAUAACGUGAUCCAGAGAAUAACUCCUUUCCUUUUUUUAAAAAAUGGGGAAACCACAGCACAAACAAGGCUGCUUCCCCAGGUCACAUGGAGAGGUCUGUGUCAGCCUCCAAACAGCCAAGGCAACUCAACCUCACCCAGGCUCAUGACUCAGAAGUGGAAGUCUCUGCCACGAAACCCAAACCCAGAGUCCAAACCCUGCGUGUAAGCGGGAGAGCUUCAAGGGUCAAGGCUCAUGGUCUCACAAGAGAAGUCAGCUCACAGAAGUCAUCACAGGGAAAGAGGAUGCUUUGUCAGUGAAACAAAUAAAAUGACAGAGAGAAUGGCUAUUGCGAGUAUGACAGGGUUGCCAGUUUAAUCGUAAAGAACCGGAAAAAGGUCACAAGAUGUGUUUCCCAGAGAGUCUGCAAAUUCCAGCAGGGUUUUCUUUUUAAUUUUUUUUAAUGUUUAUUUAUUUUUGAGAGAGAGAUAGAACACAAGUAGGGGAGGGGCAGAGAGAAGGGGAGACACAGAAUCCGAAGGAGGCUCCAGGCUCCCAGCUGCCGGCACAGAGCCUGAUUGGGGGCUUGAACCCAUGAACUGCAAGAUCAUGACCUAAAGUUGGACACUUAGUCGACUGAGCCACCCAGGCCCCCCUCCAGCUGGGUUUAAUAGAGCAAUUCUAUGUAUUCCAGCUACCAGUUUGCAGGAGAAGUGCUGGGAAGUGGUUAGAUUCUGGAUAUAUGUUGAAGGCAAAGCAGACAUAAUUUGCAUAGGGUGGAGAUGCAGGGGUGGGGGGAGAAGGGACAGCAAGGAUGAGGCCAAGGCAGUGGCUCUUUGUCUCCAGAUGUGUAGGGGUGUGUGUGACUUCACUGCCCCCUGUCCUGGAGCCCCUUCUGUCACAGGCUUCCCUUUCUUCCUCCAAAACGAGGGGAAAGGGGUGAUGUUGGCUUUUCUUACAGAAGAUGUCAGGAGCCAGUGACCCCCGCGCCCAUGGCCACCCGGCUGUGAGUGUCCAGACCGAAGUCACCCAUCAGCUACACUCAUGCCCGGGAGCAGUUGAUUAGCAAACGUUCCCACUGUCCAGUCCUGGUUGCUGCUACCUAGGAGAUGUUUAGACGGACAAAGCACGGGACAGAUGGCUACCGAGGGACAGCGACAGCUGGCCGUACUUUUCAACCCUUUUGUGGUUGUGACCCACCAGAAGAAAUAUCUUUCACAUCACAAGCCAGGAUGCACACUCAACACACACACACACACACACACACACACACACACACAGCCUUCUGUAUUCUCUUCUCUCCCAUUUAGGUUCAUUUUUUUUUUAAAUACAGCUCAAAACCCACUAACUAGACACACAGUUUUGCAAAUCCCUCGUUCACACAACGCCGGACAAGAAUAUUCUUCCUGCCUGAAACUGAGGACACAGUCUGUGACCCCAGUCACCUGUUGAAGGUGCCCACCGUCCUUGGAGGAAGGUUGCAGAAGCAGAGGCAGGUAGGUGCCUUUAGGAGACGCUCUUGCCCUGCAGGUACUGAGUUUGCAAGAGAAAUGCCAAGAAAUCUGACUUUAGUCCUCCUGGGGUCCCAGGACCAUGCCCUUGGGCUCAAGUCAUCACCCAGCCCCGUGGUGGCUGCCGGGCUCAGAUGGGGUUACAUCGACCCCUCUUCUGGGAUCGGAGCUCUGGGCGCCGAGUGAGCCACCGUCUUGCUUGUUGUCUCCUCUUGGGGUGGCCAGAGAACCAGCCCAUAGGUCGUUUUCUUACCAUUUUUUAAAGAGAUGAUCUCUAUGGAGACACAGACAGAGGACAACUCAAACAACCAACGCAGAGAAAGGUCCCAGAACGUUACAAGGGCUCAUACUGUCUUGGGACCAAGGCCUUCGGAGAAUGGCAGCUACAAUUGUCACCUUCCAACUGUCCCUUCCUUUCAUGAAGGUCCAGCAAGGGCUUCAUUCUAACCCAUGUUUAUCAGCCACCCGCCACUAACAUCCUUAAGGACCUCAAUUUAAAUUGUUUUCACGGGGCGCCUGGGGGCUCAGCCAGGCAAGCGUCCGACUCUUGAUGUCAGCUCCGCUCUUGAUCUUGGGGUUGUGACUUUGGGCCCCACCCUGAGCCCUGCGCUGGGCAUGAACCCCACUUUAAAAAAAAAAAAAGGAAAGAAAAAACUAGAUUGUUUUUGUAAGUCAGACUUACUAUAUUUUGUAACCAUUGAUCUGUGUUUAUGAUCCGAAGUCCAGCCUUUUCUAUAGGCCCUCCUAUUCGUUGUGCUAACUUUAAAUUUGUGACUCUUGAGUGUUCUAGGUACACAAUCACAUCAUAGGCAACUAAAGAUAGCUCUGCCUCUCUGGUUCUAAAAGCUGUAUCUUUUAUCGUUUCUAGAACUUCUAGAGCCAUGUUAGAACACAGUAGCAGAAUAUGGCAGGAAUCCAUCUCUGAUUUUAUUGGAAAUGCUGCCAGUUCCUCAUCCUUAAAGCAUAAUAUUGUCUGUUUGGUAGAAAUUACCCAAAAAGAAUGGCGGUUGAACUUUAUUGAAUGCCUCUUCAGCAUCUAUUGA